Molecule: long non-coding RNA, 590 nt
Organism: Myotis daubentonii (Daubenton's bat)
Lineage: Eukaryota; Metazoa; Chordata; Mammalia; Chiroptera; Vespertilionidae
Source: RefSeq, a predicted model, not a curated record
GUCCAAGGCGCGGUGCAGGGUGGACUUCACCCUGCGCAGGUUGGUGAAAUGUCCCCUUUGGGAGACGGGACGAUCCAGUUCCACGAACUCUGUGGACAAGCCACUGAUCUGCCCCAGCCACCCAGUUCGCAAGACGAGAUUUUUGUUGAAGCUGGAACGGGAUUCCUCCAUCAUUCCCGCAUGGCAUUCAAGACCCUACUGUGACUAGCCACUCCAAAAACUCCUACACCACCCUCCACCCCCAGGACCAGCCACCUCUGAGACGGCUCUGGAUGUUUCUGUGCCAGGAUGCCCUCCUUUGCUUAUCAGAAAUCUUCAAGGUGUAAGUACAAGCCCCACUUCCUCAGGAACUCUACCACAUCAAGCACCUCCGCUAGCCUGACUUCUCAAGGCCUCCAUGGAUGUGACCCUCAAUCCACUCAGGCUUUGGUGACUGCUCACUUACACCCUCCAUGGUGGGAAAUGUAAAGAAAAGCCUGAAUCAGGAGUCCGGAGACCUGGGUUCAAGUCCUGCUGCCUGGCCAGGUCUCGGUUAUAUAUCCCCUUUUGCUGUCUUUUUCCCCUCUACAGAACAAAUUACCUUUAUUAAA